UUGAGCCGGUUGCUCGGAAACGGGCAUGGCCGGUUCUAAGGGGGCUCCGGCGCGGCAACGCGCUGGAGCUACCCGAC
This 77-nucleotide non-coding RNA is filed under the name Saccharopolyspora spinosa. The record is from RNAcentral. Lineage: Bacteria; Bacillati; Actinomycetota; Actinomycetes; Pseudonocardiales; Pseudonocardiaceae.